Podarcis muralis (Common wall lizard) is the source of this 1407-nucleotide non-coding RNA. NCBI's taxonomy places the organism in Eukaryota, Metazoa, Chordata, Lepidosauria, Squamata, Lacertidae. The record is from RefSeq and is a predicted model, not a curated record.
UCUGCCUGUCUGACCAUCAGGUGCAUGAAUUUUCAUCUGAGCCAAUCAGAUGCCUGUUCCUGGAUUGCCUGUUCUGCACUGAUCUUUCCCCACUUUUUUGAGCAAGCAGUCCUUUGGAGCCCCCCAAGGGAACAACGGUGCUAUCCUGUUGAGAUUCUGCCCCUGGAAAAAUCUCAUGAUACCCAAUCUCUCAUCCGUGGUUCUGUGCUGUCUUCACUGCUCACCAUGAUAAGGGUCAAGCAGAUGGAAGAAAGAAAUGAUUAAGAUGCACUAGCACCAACUCCACCCUGGCAGGCCCAUCACCCUGGCAGCAGUCAGCCAGUAGUCAUGAGGGAUGCUUCACUAUCAGUAACUGAAGAACUGGAUUCACAAGAAUCAUAAUCACUACCCAACUUCCAGUGCUGCUUCUGAUGAUGCUCCUUGGUGGGGUGCUUCUUGCUAGUCUUCCACAACACCUCAUCAGAGGAAUCUGAGGGCUCAACUGGAAGUUGAUGCCCUGUUUGCUGGCUAAGUGGUCUGAGAUAGCAAGAAAGGUAAAGCAAAGCAAGCUGUAACUGCAGUGACCAAGAUAGCAGCUGCGGACUGUGUCCAAACUUAAAGAAGGCUCUUUAUCCCCCCACUUGCAACACGGUGACAGAUAAAGGUACUGGUACAAAAGUUGGGCGCCACCCCCACUCUCUGCCAAGUGGUAGCAAGAUUACAGGGGGUCCCAGGUGCACACCUGGCGUCUGUGCUGCUUUGGAGAAUUGAAGACAUGGCAGAGACUGUUGUAGUUUUUUUUAAAGAGCCACAUAUUUACACCUUCAGUCUGCAUGGAGGGAGCCCAAAGCUUACAGCAUGGUCAUUCCAAGAGCGGCUUGUUCCCCACAGCAGUACAUCGCUGGAGGCAAAGGCAUCUCUCACAGCCAGCCUUCAGCCAACCUGUCCAAGAUGGAUCUCAAUCUCUCUCCCCCCCCCCAGUCUUCUUCCCAGCACACUUUGCUAAAAACUUUCCUGUUGCCUCAUACCCAGUUACCCUGGUAACAUUCUGUCUGCCGGGGCCCAAUAUUUCUCUUGGAUGGGCCAUCAACACCUUUCGUUAUGUUAAUGCCUCUAUUCCAUGUGAGGCCCUGGCUUGGAAAGGAAGCUUAGCCUGUAUUUUUCCACGGGCCAGCAACCUUCCCUUCAGUACUCCCAGCUAAUCUAAACCUUAACAUUUAUUAAUUUCUAGGGUUUACGGCAGGGGUCGGCAAGGCUUACUGGGCAUGGGCUGGAUUACUCCCGCGGAGAUCCUCCAUGGGCCGGGCCGGCGCAGUGUCAUGCCAGAAAUGGCAUCUGUGCAUGUCCGUGGCACCAGAAAUUGCUUCUGCGCAUGCCCAGACACUUGAAAUCGUGCCUGCACUAUUCUAAAAAACAAGUAUGAUACAU